GUGGCAGCAGUCGCGAAAACUUGUCAAUGCACGAAAGUGUGAACGGGCUACCCCGAGUGCCGUCCGCUGAGGAUGGCUUUUCUCUGCUGUAAGAAGGCAGAGGAAUAAGGAGAGGGCAAGUCUGGUGUCAGCCGCCGCGGUAAUACCAGCUCUCCGAGUGGUAGGGAUGAUUAUUGGGCUUAAAGCGUCCGUAGCUGGCCUUUCAAGUCUCUUGUUAAAUCCAGCGAUUCAAUCGUUGGACUGCGGGAGAUACUGUUAGGCUAGGGGGCGGGAGAAGCCGACGGUAUUUCCGGGGUAGGGGUAAAAUCCUAUAAUCCCGGGAGGACCACCAGUGGCGAAGGCGGUCAGCUAGAACGCGCCCGACGGCGAGGGACGAAAGCUGGGGGAGCAAACCGGAUUAGAUACCCGUGUAGUCC
RNAcentral lists this ribosomal RNA (416 nucleotides) under uncultured crenarchaeote. Its description in RNAcentral is "partial 16S ribosomal RNA". It matches the Rfam family "Archaeal small subunit ribosomal RNA", at positions 329 to 747 of the family's 1478-position model. Lineage: Archaea; Thermoproteati; Thermoproteota. The record is from RNAcentral.